This 465-nucleotide ribosomal RNA is filed under the name uncultured bacterium. Its description in RNAcentral is "partial 16S ribosomal RNA". It matches the Rfam family "Bacterial small subunit ribosomal RNA", at positions 28 to 507 of the family's 1533-position model. The record is from RNAcentral.
GACGAACGCUGGCGGCAGGCUUAACACAUGCAAGUCGCGGGGAAGGACCCUGCUUGCAGGGUACUCGAGUGGCGGACGGGUGAGUAACACGUUGAUGCUUUGCCCUGCACUUCGGCAUAAGCCUGGAAAACGGGGUCUAUUGCCGGAUAGGAGCCAGUUUUAGUGUGAUGGUUGGAAAGUUUUUUGGGUGUCGGAUGAGCUCGCGGCCUAUCAGCUUGUUGGUGGGGUAAUGGCCUAGCAAGGCGGCGACGGGUAGCCGGCCUGAGAGGGUGGACGGCGACACUGGGACUGAGAUAAGGCGCAGAAGCCGACGGGAGGCAGCAGUGGUGAAUAUUGCACAAUAGGCGCAAGCCUGAUGCAGCGACGACGCGUGUGGGAUGACGGCCUUCGUGUUGUACAGGGAUAUCGCUAGGGACGAAUCUGUUUUUGACGGUACCGAGAGAAGAAGCACCGGCUAACUCCGUG